RNAcentral lists this long non-coding RNA (226 nucleotides) under Hordeum vulgare. Its description in RNAcentral is "long non-coding RNA (HVUL_LNC020135)". Lineage: Eukaryota; Viridiplantae; Streptophyta; Magnoliopsida; Poales; Poaceae. The record is from RNAcentral.
GGGGCGGCACGGCGGGCGGCGAGGCGGGCGAUGUCGGAGACUGGCGGGUCGGGGAGGCAGGUGUAGAUGUACGGAAGGUGCUGCUCCGCGUCCAUGGCCGCCGGCUAGGGUUUCGGGCGGAGAGCGAGCGACGAGUGAGGAGCGAAGUGUGUGUGACUGAUUGGCGGCGGUGGCGAGGAGAUGUAGGGUUUGGUCGGUGGUGUUGUCUGCUUCGGGCGGGCCAAAU